UUGUCAGGUGGGAUAAUCCUUACCUGUUCCUCCUUUGGAGGGGAGAUAAAACAUGAUGAUUGGAGAUGCAUGAAACUUAA
Aotus nancymaae (Ma's night monkey) is the source of this 80-nucleotide small nucleolar RNA. Its record names the gene U8. It matches the Rfam family "U8 small nucleolar RNA". From Rfam's summary of the family: U8 is a member of the C/D class of snoRNA which contain the C (UGAUGA) and D (CUGA) box motifs. U8 is the RNA component of a small complex (the U8 snoRNP) which is required for accumulation of mature large subunit ribosomal RNAs, 5.8S and 28S rRNAs. U8 RNA has been identified in human, mouse, rat and Xenopus. Lineage: Eukaryota; Metazoa; Chordata; Mammalia; Primates; Aotidae. The record is from Ensembl.